GUCUCAUCCUCAUCACAAACAUUCAGAGCCCCUAAUGUAACGUCGCUGCCGGUGGCAAGUCUCCAAAUAGCCUGAAAUUUACACACCUAAAUCCCCAUGAACUCCUCUUUUCAAGCCCCAUAACUCCAUGGCUCAAAUCAUACCAGAGCUUCUCGAAUGAUCGAUCUUGUGACUGCCAUCUCCGCCGCCCACGGUGGCGCUUACGCCGAUUACCGCCAAAACAACAUCCUAGAUUCCUCUCGUCGUCCUCUCUUUAUAUCUCACCUUAGUUUCCCUUGAAUCCCCACCCAGAGUCUCGAAUCUCGGUAUGACAUUCUACCCAAAACCCUAAGUUCUUCAUACAUCCUUAAAUCCACACCCCCACAGUCCCCAUGACUCCCUCACCUCGAAUCACUAGCCAAAAACUCUCGAAUCUCACCAGGCCAUCUCUAAUUUCGCAUCUUGGGUUUUCGAGUUCUUCUGCCGUUUGGAGAUUCAAUCAUUCGAAUGAUUUUAAUUAAUAUUAUGAGUUUAUUUUUGACAAGAUAAACCUAUAAUAUUAAUUAAAAUUCAAUUCCAUAAAAUCAAUUGAGUUCGAAGACCAAAUCAGUAAGCCUUUUCUCAUUUUUAGUUAAUUUUUGUUUGAUUCAUAAUUUGUCUGUUUAAUUAAUCAUAGUUUUAAUUUCCAAAUCAUUUUAAUUGAUAGUUUGGUUAGAUACAAUUUCUGUUAGUUAAUUGUUAGCUAGAUGUUUAGGUUAGUUUCCAUUCCUUUAGUUCUGAGUUGAUGUUUAAAUGUUCAAUUGUUAGCUUAUUUGUUAAAUGUUAGUUUAAUUUCAUUUAGUUUCGAUUGUUAGUCGAAGCUUAGUAUUUUUUUAUCUUUGAAUCCAGUCGAAGCUUUGUAUUUUUUGAUCUUUGAAUCUUGAUUUUAAAUCAAGUCUGUGUGACCGAAUAGUUAUGUUUUUUUAGUUCAAUUAGUUAAUUUCUGAGUUUCCAUUAAUAAGUCUUAGUUAGUUUUGAAUUGGUUUAGUACUUGGUUAUAGCUGUUGUAGGUUUAAUUAGAAUCAGUAAUUUCAGGGGACUUUCAGGGGUAGUUUAGGCAUGGAAAAAGGGCAUUUUUGUUAAGAAUGGUAAUUUCAAAACAAGAGCAAGGGUAAUAUAGGUAUUAUAUAGGUAGAAGAACAUCCUAGGGCCUUCUAGAGUACGACUUUAGUGAAGAUUCCAGCUAACUUAGGACAGUAGCUUGGGUAACAAUUUAAUAAAUGAGGGACUAAUGUAAAAAUGAAGAGGGACUGAAAAGAAAACUAAAAAAUCUGAUUAUUCCCUCUUAUGUUGCCUAUAAAUUGGCAUUAUCAUGCCUUAAAAGCGGGGUCUUCUUGUGAGCGAUAAAACAAUCCUCUCCAAAUAGCCUUUUCUUUCCAGUUUUCAUAUCCUGUUUUAAAAAUUCAAAAGUUAAAAAUUCAAAAACGGUAGAAAACAAAAUAAAAAUCUUCGAGAAAAAUCAAAAAUACAUUGUUACAUUGAAUCUUAGGCAAAUCAUUCAGUUAAAAUAAAAAAUACACUGUUACAUUGAAUCUUAGGCAAAUCAUUCAGUCAUAUUUCUCUUCUGUUUACUAAAAGUUCUUCUGGAGCUUUGUUGUUGUUUAAUCGACUGGUUUUGGGUCAAUCAAGAUGGUUUGAGUGAAUUUGGUAGACUAAUUUGGGAUUUGAGUUAUUUGCUGAGUUCGGUUUGGUUCAGUAUUGGGUGUUGUGGUUAGAUUGGUUGUUUCUGUGUGGAUUUUUGAAAUACCUUUGAACCGACUUGUUCUUGACUGCCUGUGAUCAUCUCUGUUGCAUUGUUGCCGUUAAUAUCUUUUUCUGCCUCCUAUUUCGUUUUCCAGGUACACAGCUUGACUUUGAUAGCUAGGAGAUAAAAUGUGAAAUGUGAACUUGUAGUUGAAGCAUGAAAUGCAAUUUGAUUCAGUUUUGGAGCUGUGUAUUUGAAUAUGUAGUCUGUUAAUGAUAGUUGAUUUUACAUUUGAAUUUUGAUCUAGAUGGAUGGAAACUGGCCAUGUAAUAACUAACUGAAAUCGUUUUUUUGUACUGUCUAGGCUAAUAAUUAUUCUGUUGCAAAUACACGUGAACUUUUUUUUGAGUUUUGAGUGUUAAUCAGGUUAAGCUUUAGCUCGUUUUUUAUCAAGUUGUAUUCAUAAAUAUGUUUGAAAGGUAACUCAGUGAUGAGGCCAGUCUUAAGUAAUUGAAUUUCAGUGUGGUUUGUAAUUAAAUGAAACUGUUAAUUAGGAUUCUGGGUUGAUCAUAGUUGGAAAUAUAAUUUGAGUCAAAAUCGUUUUAGUUUGUGUUAGUGAUACUGUAGUUCAAAUCUUUGUUUUAAUUUCCAGCAUAAGUGUCAUUUAGGAAGUGAAGUUCAACAUGUCAAUAUCUAUUUGAUUUGGGAUAAUUACGUUUAAAUAAACCGUUAGUUUGCUAUUCUACAGCCUCGAUCUUUGUUAAAUAAAUCUUUGUUAAUUAGGAGAGGAUCGAUACUAGCUGAUUGAGUUCGCCUGGUUUGGGCUAAUUUCAGGCCCAGUGACCAUGGCCAUGUGAUACCCAAACC
Molecule: long non-coding RNA, 2569 nt
Filed under: Nicotiana benthamiana
Lineage: Eukaryota; Viridiplantae; Streptophyta; Magnoliopsida; Solanales; Solanaceae
Description: long non-coding RNA (NBEN_LNC017417)
Source: RNAcentral